ACUCCUACGGGAGGCAGCAGUGAGGAAUAUUGGACAAUGGAGGCAACUCUGAUCCAGCCAUGCCGCGUGCAGGAAGACUGCCCUAUGGGUUGUAAACUGCUUUUAUACAGGAAGAAACACCUCUACGUGUAGAGAUUUGACGGUACUGUAAGAAUAAGGAUCGGCUAACUCCGUGCCAGCAGCCGCGGUAAUACGGAGGAUCCAAGCGUUAUCCGGAAUCAUUGGGUUUAAAGGUCGUAGUGGAUAUUAAGUCAGAGGUGAAAUCCUGCAGCUUAACUGUAGAAUUGCCUUUGAUAACUGGUUGUCUUGAGUUAUUAUGAAGUGGUUUAGAAUAUGUAGUGUAGCGGUG
RNAcentral lists this ribosomal RNA (349 nucleotides) under uncultured bacterium. Its description in RNAcentral is "bacterial SSU rRNA". It matches the Rfam family "Bacterial small subunit ribosomal RNA", at positions 335 to 683 of the family's 1533-position model. The record is from RNAcentral.